AAGUACAGUAGUAACUGGCUGUACCUUGACGGUACCUUAUUAGAAAGCCACGGCUAACUACGUGCCAGCAGCCGCGGUAAUACGUAGGUGGCAAGCGUUGUCCGGAAUUAUUGGGCGUAAAGCGCGCGCAGGUGGUUUCUUA
Molecule: ribosomal RNA, 142 nt
Filed under: Lysinibacillus fusiformis
Lineage: Bacteria; Bacillati; Bacillota; Bacilli; Caryophanales; Bacillaceae
Description: partial 16S ribosomal RNA
Rfam family: Bacterial small subunit ribosomal RNA
Source: RNAcentral